CAAUCGCCAUUUUCGUUUCCCUUCCUCGCCGAACCCCGCGAGCCCCUUCUUCCCCGUCGCGAUCCCUUGCCCUAACCGCAUGUGGCGGUUUUUCUUUCUCCCUCGCGGUUUAAGCCAAGGCGGAGGGUUCUUGGCAUAUCCUUCUUCUUCUUCCCGAGUUCUGCCCCCCUCUAUUCUUUGUCGCCUUCUCCUUCGUGCGCCGAUCACCAGCCACGGGAAACCCUAGCGCCGACUUCCCCUACGCAUCGCUCAACACCGAUGUCACUGCCACUAUUCUCUCCGGCCACUGUUUUCCUCCUGAGCACUUGACGUCGAUCCGCUCCUCUAUCCCCAUUGAUCAGCCACUCAUACAGCGUGCCCUAGAUCAGUUUUCCGCCGCUGUUGUGAGGCCUGCGCCGACCAUCACCAGAGCAACUGAGUCUUCUAUUUUCUCUAGUCAACGUACUCCGAUCUGCCUUCUCCGACUACUUCGAUCAUUGAGGUGCAGAUUUGUUGUCGAUCCUCUUACUUGCUGUUGAUUGAGGUUUCGGUUGAAGUGGGAAAGAUUCCAGCAGGGAGAUUGUGCUCUGUGGGGUGUUCUUGGUUCGAUCCAUCUUGUUCCAGCGUCAACAGUGGCAGGUAGUGAGGGUAUUUGAUUUGGAGGGCAGCACCAUUUACCUCACUUCAGUCAGGUUUAUUAGCAGUAAGUUGUCUCCGGUUGUGGAUUCACACAGCGACUGUGAAUUGAAGCAAGGUUGAUGCUGUCAGGAGAGAGUUCCAGUUGCUAGUCCCCUGUAGCCACGAGGCUGUUUAUUUAUCUUUUGGCUUUAUGUACUAGACUAUGUUUUGAACUUGUUAUGUUUUGAACACUUUAGAUCCUGUAUGGAUUGCUUUAUUUAGUCAAUGACUUUCAUUCGGAUUUGUUUUACUA
Molecule: long non-coding RNA, 910 nt
Organism: Zingiber officinale
Lineage: Eukaryota; Viridiplantae; Streptophyta; Magnoliopsida; Zingiberales; Zingiberaceae
Exons: 3
Source: RefSeq, a predicted model, not a curated record